Molecule: ribosomal RNA, 489 nt
Filed under: uncultured bacterium
Lineage: Bacteria
Description: partial 16S ribosomal RNA
Rfam family: Bacterial small subunit ribosomal RNA
Source: RNAcentral
UUGCACGCUGGCGGCAGGCCUAACACAUGCAAGUCGCACGGUAACAGGAAGAAGCUUGCUUCUUUGCUGACGAGUGGCGGACGGGUGAGUAAUGUCUGGGAAACUGCCUGAUGGAGGGGGAUAACUACUGGAAACGGUAGCUAAUACCGCAUAACGUCGCAAGACCAAAGAGGGGGACCUUCGGGCCUCUUGCCAUCGGAUGUGCCCAGAUGGGAUUAGCUAGUAGGUGGGGUAACGGCUCACCUAGGCGACGAUCCCUAGCUGGUCUGAGAGGAUGACCAGCCACACUGGAACUGAGACACGGUCCAGACUCCUACGGGAGGCAGCAGUGGGGAAUAUUGCACAAUGGGCGCAAGCCUGAUGCAGCCAUGCCGCGUGUAUGAAGAAGGCCUUCGGGUUGUAAAGUACUUUCAGCGGGGAGGAAGGGAGUAAAGUUAAUACCUUUACUCAUUGACGUUACCCGCAGAAGAAGCACCGGCUAACUCCGUG